UCCCUAGUCACUCCUCCCUCUGUCACUAGUCGCCCCCACCCUCUCUGUGUCACUAGUCACACCCUCCCUCACUCUGUCACUAGAGUGAAGGGGUGACAGGUGACAGAGUGAGGGAAGGGGUGACUAGUGGCAGAGUGAGGGAAGGAAGGGGUGACUAGUGACAGUGAGGAAGGGGGUGACACGGUGACAGAGUGAGGGAGGGGGUGACACAGUAACAGAGUGAAGGAGGGGGUGACUGUCACUAGUCACCCCAUCCCUCCCUCUGUCACUAAUCAUCACCUCCCUCACUCUGUCACUAGUCACCCCUUCCCUCCCUCACUCUGUCACUAGUCACUCCCUCCCUCUCUAUGACACUAAUCACCCCCUCCCUCACUCUGUCACUAGAGUGAGGGGGUGACAGGUCAC
RNAcentral lists this small RNA (405 nucleotides) under Pelobates cultripes (western spadefoot toad). The record is from RNAcentral. Lineage: Eukaryota; Metazoa; Chordata; Amphibia; Anura; Pelobatidae.